UCUUAAAUAUUCUGUUCUGGGUUUUUUCCAGUAUUUUUUCUCUUUGCCUUUCAGUUUUUGGAGUUUGAUUGUCAUAUCCCACGCUCACAGAUUCUUUCCUUAGCUGUGUCCAGUCUACUAAUGAACUCAUCAUAAGCAUUUUUCAUUUCUGUUACAGUUUUUGAUUUUUAGCAUUUCUUUCUUAGAAUAUCCAUCUCUCUGCUUAUGUUAUUUAUCUGUUCUUGCAUGUUAUCUACUUUUUCCGUUAAAUCUCUUGGCAUAUUAAUCAUAGCUUUUAAAAAUCCCUGGUCUGAUGAUUCCAACUUUCCUGCCAUAUCUGACUCUGGUUUUGGUGUUUGUUCAGUCUCUUCAAACUUUUUUGCCUUUUAAUAUGCCUUGUAAUUUUUUGUCAAAAGGUAGACAUGAGGUACUGGGUAAAAGAAAUGGCAGUAAAUAGGCCUUUAGUAAUGUCGUGGUAAGCUGUACGGGGAGGGGAAGUGUGCUAUAAGCCUAUGAUUAGGUCUCAGUCUUUUGGUAAGCCUGUGCCCCUGAGCUGUGAAUUUCACUAGUGCCUCUCGGUCCCCUGACACUUAGUUGUGACAGGAGGCCUAGAGGAGGAUGGAGUUGGGCGUUUCUCUUCUCUCAAAUAGGUUAUGCUCUGAUAAAACCCCAGAAGGUUAGGCUGUAGAGAAAUAGUUUCUCCUGAGGACAGGCCUUAUUAAUAAGAACAGAAUGCUCUGGUGUAUUUCAAGAUAGUUCCUCUUCCCCUCCCAUGAUGGAAUUCUCUAAUAUUCUCUGAUAGUCUCUGUGAGGACCUUGAAGUAAAACUCACAAAAGUGUGGGUGCCAUUCUGUGACUGGGUCCCCCUGGAGUGUUUUACUCUCAGAGUUGUCCACACUGAGCUUCCAGCCAUUCGUCAAGUAAAGUUCAGGUUUUCCUACCCUGGCACUGGUUCUCUCAGAGAUAAUUUGCUGUGGCCACCUGGCUGUCUCUUCAAUUUUGGGGGCAGCAGUUUGUCCCAUAAACUCAUAGCUCUGAUGCAUCUAAGAAGAGCUGUUGGUUUUUCAAUUUGGUUCAGCUUUUUGCUUGUUAGAAUGGAAGGAUGACUUCUAAGCUUCUUAGAUGCUGGACCAGAAACCAGAAGUCUGCCUACUCUUAAUAACCGUUAUGCCUCAUGUUUUCCCGCUAACUAUUGAUUGACUUGAAUUCUGUUGCGUGGUGUCUUAACCUUGGUCAUCUAGGAAGCAGAGUCUGAGUUAAAGUCUCAUGUUCUAUUAUUUCAUUGCAGAGUUCAAUUCCAGGGAAUAAGAGGGAGAGAAAAGGGGAGUGAGAUAAAGACGGAAGAAGAGCCAAUAUGAAGAUGUGUCAUGAAACUGGCCACCUGGUAUUGGGCCCGAUUGACUAUCCAAUUUCAAGGGGCUCUUGAAGAUGUCAUAUAAAUGAUUACUUUUCAGAAGAGUCUAGGGGGUGUGGGUGUCAGUAAGAAUUUAUCUGCUGACUCAGUCUCUCAUUUGUCACAGUUUUACUCCAUAGUUUCUCUUUUACGCCACACUUUUGAGUUGUCCGUGUAUUGGCAAAAAAACAAAAUGAGUCCCAUGGUGUUUUAGUUUGGGUUUUCCUGAAAGCAGAGCUUGAAUAAGGGCUUCAGUUAAUUGGGGUUCAAGUAGCUUGUUUGGAAAGUGAUGCCAGAAAGCAGGAGUGAGGGAUUUGGGAGAAAAAGACAAUAAUAGGAAUGAAUUAUUGAGGUCUCUGCUGUAAGCAGUAGGGGCUCUAUUCCAUAGCAACUCCGAGAAAUAUACAGAAUGCCUCUCAAAUUAUCCAUGCAUAAGAUGGGAGGCUUGGGCAUUUACCCACUGUCUCCCAUCCCCCAUUUAUUUAGAGUUGCCCUUGUGGGCUAUAACUCUCUUCCUUUUCUGGGCAGUGCUUACAUGUAGACCAAGAGGACUUCUGGGAUUUUGGAGAAGGCUACCAGCUUGUGGAAAGCAGAGAUUUGAGAAGUCAGCAUGAGUCUGAGGUUGUGUACUGCCCACCACAGAGGUGGACCAAAGAGGUGGGCCAUGGAUUAUCGGAUGCCUCAGGGAACAGGGACCCUUGGGGCAGAUGGUCAGAGUAGUAUUUCUUUUGUGGGAUAGUGUGAGAGUGGGUCUCCAGAAUGGUGCUGACAUACUGAUUUUGACUGGCUCAUGUUGUUUAUAUAGUCAGAGCCCCUCCUAACAACAUUUGGCCAGGACUCCACACACCCUAGGGGGAGCUCUGCCUCUGUGAAGCAGAUUGGAGCCAUGCAAAAUUGACUGCAGUAGCUGUAGCUGGAACAACAAAAAAGUAACAGUGAGGGGACUUAUAGUGUCUUAUAGGAGGCAACCAAUAUCCUAGGUGAGGUGCCUUUUCAGAAAAAUUUUUUAAAGAGUAUUUUUAGAGUCUGUAUUUCUCUAUACAUGUGUAAUAACAUUUGCAAAAAUUUUGAGUGAGUCAACAUGUGGGGUGGAUUGCAAAAUGUGGCUGCAAAUUCUUUUCAUCAUGGAAUGUAUAGUCCUGCCUUUGAGAGUUGGAGUCUAUUUCUCCACCCUCUUCAUUUGGAUUGGCAGAUAACUUUUUCCUUCUAGUUUAUAGCUCUCUAGAUCAAGAGGAGUUGUACCACUGAAGCUAGUGUUGUGACUUACUUUGACCAAUAGAAUGAGACGGAAGUGAAAUUUUCCAUUCUGGGACCUGAGCAUCUAGAUGUCUUGCAGCUUCUGCCUUUACCCUCUUCAUUGAGACCACCAAGGAAGAGAGGCCAGUCCAGCCUCCUGGGGGAUGAGAGGCUAUGUGAAGGAAUCAAGGCAUCCUAGCUGAUGGCCACCACCUACUCCAAGACAUAAGCCCUGAGCUGUCAUGUAAGAAGUCCACUACCCUGAAACUGCCAUGCUGGAGAGGUCAUGUAUAGGCAAUCUGGUCAACAGUCCUUCAGCCAUCCUUGUCAAGACAUCAGAUAUGGAAGUGAACCCAUUUGCGAUCUUUCAUCUGCCAACUGAAUGCUACCAAGUGACCUUAGUCAACCCCACAUGGAAAGUGAUGCUUGUAGAAAUAUUUUCUACAGACUACUUUGCAUCAUGCUACACUGUCUUCAUAGAAUCACCAUUUUAUGUAUUCAAGACUUUACUGGGAUAGUAUCAGUUGAGAAAUGUUUUGUAUAUGAUGUGAAUUUUUUGAGGAUGGUACUCUACUUUUUUCAGGGCCAUUGAUAAUCCUUAACUUGACCUCGGGAGUUCAAAAGAAAAUAAAGGUUUGCUUUUUUAUAGAGAAACUGCACUGAGGAAAACGUGUUAUAUCCAAGUAUUAUUCUGAAUUAACAGCUAAUAAAUCAGAAAAAAAGAAAAAUGUUAACAGUAAUUUAGCAGCAAAUGGGGCAUUUGACCUGCAGCUCCCAGAUGAAUUCCCAAACUACAUGAAUAAAUUAUUUUAGGAGAUGAAAUUAUAUGGGUUAUGUAACGCUUGAUGAGAAAUUGCAGUCAUAAUCCGGGAAAUGGCUUCUACUUAGCAGGGUCACCAGUGGAGAAAGAAGUGGUCCCAGGACAUCAUUUUCCACCUUGAGAAUCUUGGCCAAAGCAGUGCCCAAGUGCUUUCUGCCCAGCUGCAAUCCAACUAGAGAAGCUGAAAUUAGCUUCAUUGCCAGAGACCUCAAAAGCCCUUUGAAUAUCCAGCACCCGAAUGGCCUCUGUGCUAUUUUCUGCGAGAUUGUGCUCCAAUCACAGCUCCUCAUCUUAGAGCUGCAGUUACGUUUCCUAGAUCUGCACAGAUGCAAGGCUUUCCCAGAACUAGGAUAAGCUGUCAACUUGUAGGGCAGCUCAGUUGCUCCCUGGAAUUUAUGCCCUAAGGGACAAGCGCUCCAUAGAGCAUUUUGAAAGCUGACAGCUUAGUGUUGGCAGCUGAAUUUUGACAUUUCAGGCUAUUAUCAAAACUCUCUCCAACAGCUGAAACUGUAGGUAUGUGACAGUUAAGCCUUCUGCGAGGCAUGUUUAUCUGGCAGGAAGAAUGCUAUCAGUUGCCUUAUUAUUCUAUUGUCCCGCACGUUUCAAUCACUUUUUGUUAAUCAACUAACACAUUGUUGAGAUAUCUAAAAAUGACAAGGCAAAUAAAGAGCCAUGGUUAGGAUUUUACCCUCAAGCCCAUGCUCAAUUUGAAGGCUUCCCGCUUCAAAAUAUUUAGUUGGAAAAAUUUACCAUUGUAAAGAAACGUGAAAAGCAAUAGGAGAAUUCACAUAUUAGGUAGUCCCUGCAGAAGCUCAGACUUAGUCCUUCCCCUACGGACUUAGGAGAUGGUAAUGAAAAGCCCUAUUUCUUUCCAAGCUUGAGCUGACACACUUGGAUAUGUGGGUAUCUGAAAACAUAUUUUAUCAAAAUAAGGAGCUUAAAGGUGAAGUUUUUUUAUACAACGUGGUCCUCUUAAUUUUCAUUCCAUUAAAUGCUGAAAAAAAAUCAAUGUCUGACAGAUGAAAAAGGGCAGAGUUAGAGGAGCUAUAUGGAGGAGAGUAUAUCAGAAAAAGAAGAGUUCGGAUUGUUUUAUAGCAAAAGGAAGAAUAAUGAUCCUGUAGCUAUGUUUACUUCCUAUACAAACUAUAUAUUUUUGUUAGUAAAGACAAAAAUGAAAUUGGAUUACUAAUGGUAAAAGAAUAUGGCUCUUUGCUUUCUAGAAAAAAAUGGUUAAAAACACAUCUCUUUACCUCCCUUGAAAAACCACACCUCACUCCCUCAUGCUAACCAUCAAGUCAACUCAGAGAGUUAAAAACUUGUCCCCGGCCCCAGUAGAACCCUCACCAAAGAAUGCAGCGGAGAGUCCUAUCUUCUGGUUAAAUACUGGAUAAGCACAAAUUGAAAUGUGUCCUUAAAGUAAUUAACCCAACCAAAUCCCCGUGGUUGCCACAAAGUGAAUGUGAAAUUGUAGAAAUCUUUGAUGUCCUCUAACUGAUUCGUGACAAGAACCGAAUAUGAUGAAAUAGCUUUGAGAUGAGUCAUGUGUGUACGCAACACCAAACAGGCAGUCUAUUCAGUAAGUUUAACUUCCUCAAAACAAUUCUCAGUGAAAAGAAAAAGGAAAUAUGUUUACUUGGACUUUCCUCAUGAGUUAAGUUUUACACAGAUGCAGAUUUUAAAUUAAUCAGUGCCCUCAUCUGAUCGGUAGGCAAAAUUGUGUGGUAGUUUUGUACUGACACUAAUAAUAAAUAACAACAACAACAGCAUCUAACAACACUUAAAAGUAUGUGUGCGAUGUGCUAGGCACGACUCUAAGCCAUAUAUUAUACACGCGCAUGCACACACACAUACUCACAUAUACAUAUGUACGUAUAUAUACAUACAUAUACAUAUGUAUAAUAUUUAAUCCUCAAAACCUCCUUGAUACUGAUAGAUGUUAUUAUUAUCCCCAUUUUGCAGAGAAGAAAAUAGAGGCUCAAAGAGCUUGAAUAAUUUGUCCAGGGUCACAAAGCGGUAAGAGUGGUAUUUAAAUCUGGACCAGCUGUUUGUAAAGCCUGUGCUAUCCAUUUAUCACUACAUUAUAGUGCCCUUUGUUUACAUGUUGAGAUAUAUUCAUUCGAAGUUUAUCUGCAGCACAAGAAUUUCAAAAUUCUAUAAGAGUUCCUUCAAAAGUGUGGUCAAUAUGGGGAAGAGGAAUAACCAUGAUAGAAGUGAUAUUUUCAAUACUUCCAUAUAAAAAUGUCUGGAGGCAGAGCCGCUAAUGGAAAAUAUUGAUUGUGAGUUUAAAAGGUGGUGAACUUCAGGACCAAUCGCAGCCAAAUUUAUAUCCCUGAAGUUUCCCUCGUAUAUUUGCAAAUUCCCCUUUCCACAUUUGAAAAGCUGGCUUUUAGAAGUGAUGAUAGAAGUCUUACCGAGUCAGCCCUAAUAACAGCUGUUGGCUCAGAUUAGCACAAGGAAAAAUUUCUCUCAGUUUCUGCUGCGCAUCUGUUAUAGUUUUUUUUUUUUUUUUGUAAUCUGUGGACAGUGGGCUAUAAGAUGGUGUACAGGAUUUUUUCCUGUAUUUAAAAUAUUUUUCUAUAUUUUCUUUUUUUUAUUACUUUGCCUCAUUUCCUGAAAGUUUUUCUGUUAAUGCACUGUAACCACUCACUUCAAGCAGACAGCAAGAAGUAAAUAAAAAUAUGAAUGCUUCCCUCAAGUAAAAUAAAGAUUUGUUUGAACUUAAAAAUAUCUUGGCUUUGUUAUUUUUAUAUACAAAGAUGAUUUUUUUCUAUAUCAUCAUGCACCUCUGAAUUUUAGAGUGCUUUGUUGCAGCUGUUAAUUGCAAUAUUAAGAUAAACUAGGUUUGAGAAGCAAGUUCUCUCUUUUUACUAAGACUUCUGUGUGUUUUGGUCAGAAAAUUAUAUAAUCUUUUCUCAUUUAUCUCAGUAGUAGUUUCAAAACAAAAUAAAGAACAAGCUAAUUGGGUGGCAAAAAUAUAAAUUAGAUUGCGUAAUUUCGUCUUUGCCAAAGGACUUUUAAUGACUGUUUUAAAGCAACUGCAUAUGUUUAUAUAAAUUCACCUCCUUACUUACAUCUCACUGUCGAGAUAGAACGGAGCUCUCCUUGGAAUUUCUGCCAAAGGAAGUGACUUGGAAUAUUAUCACCAUCAGUCUCCUCUUCAUCUCUGGCCAGGGCACCUCUCUUAGGACCGCUGCAGCUGUCCUUCCACCACACACGAGCUGUCUUGGGUCACGUGGUCAAUACAGAGAAGAGGAAUAACUACAAUAGAGCUCUCGAUUGACAGUCUCCAAACAAUCAGCCAAGGCAAGGAGGAAGAAAAUCUGCCAAAACGGUUGGGGUUAUGUAAAGAAAGCAAUUGGCUGAUUGACUUAAUCUCUCCCUUUUUUGCUGGCUGUAAUCAUGGAGACACAGAUGAAGAGAAAUUCCAGAGCCAAGUUCAUCUCUGCAGUACAUUGGAGAGGUACAAAAAGCCUGGAAAGAUACUGUGUUCUUAGUGCCCAGAAGUCCAGCAGACACAGGCUUUGUCAAAAUGGUGGAUGAAAUAAACCCCAGACACACAAUGCUCUCCAGGAAUAAUGCCUUCUAAUUUUUGGAAAAUUCAACCAGAAAACUUCCUGUGACAGAAUUCACGCCAGCUGUACACGCUCAAGCCAGUUAACCUGUUGGACUGAAUCAACCAGUCCAUUGGUAAUUAUCCUGAACCAGUUGUUUGAACUGACAGAAUGCCUGGGCAGCCAGUCACUGAGCCCAGACAAACAGUACAGUCAUGUGUCGCUUCACAAUGGGGAUACAUUCUCAGAAAUUCAUUAGGCAAUUUCAUUGUGUGAAUAUCACAGAGUGUACUGAG
This is a non-coding RNA of Equus caballus (horse), 7275 nucleotides long. The record is from RefSeq and is a predicted model, not a curated record. NCBI's taxonomy places the organism in Eukaryota, Metazoa, Chordata, Mammalia, Perissodactyla, Equidae.